CGGUGGGGUAAAGGCCUACCAAGACAAUGACGCAUAGCCGAGUAGAGAGAUUGAUUGGCCACAUGGGGCCUGAGACACGCCCCAAACUCUUACGGGAGGGUGCAGUAGGGAAUCUUCCACAAUGGGCGAAAGCCUGAUGGAGCAACGCCGCGUGUGUGAUGAAGGCUUUCGGGUCGUAAAGCACUGUUGUAUGGGAAGAACAGCUAGAAUAGGAAAUGAUUUUAGUUUGACGGUACCAUACCAGAAAGGGACGGCUAAAUACGUGCCAGCAGCCGCGGUAAUACGUAUGUCCCGAGCGUUAUCCGGAUUUAUUGGGCGUAAAGCGAGCGCAGACGGUUUAUUAAGUCUGAUGUGAAAGCCCGGAGCUCAACUCCGGAAUGGCAUUGGAAACUGG
This 394-nucleotide ribosomal RNA is filed under the name Leuconostoc mesenteroides. RNAcentral describes it as "bacterial SSU rRNA". It matches the Rfam family "Bacterial small subunit ribosomal RNA", at positions 250 to 636 of the family's 1533-position model. Lineage: Bacteria; Bacillati; Bacillota; Bacilli; Lactobacillales; Lactobacillaceae. The record is from RNAcentral.